This 450-nucleotide ribosomal RNA is filed under the name uncultured bacterium. Its description in RNAcentral is "partial 16S ribosomal RNA". It matches the Rfam family "Bacterial small subunit ribosomal RNA", at positions 354 to 796 of the family's 1533-position model. The record is from RNAcentral.
GUAGGGAAUCUUCGGCAAUGGACGAAAGUCUGACCGAGCAACGCCGCGUGAGUGAAGAAGGUUUUCGGAUCGUAAAACUCUGUUGGUAGAGAAGAACGUUGGUGAGAGUGGAAAGCUCAUCAAGUGACGGUAACUACCCAGAAAGGGACGGCUAACUACGUGCCAGCAGCCGCGGUAAUACGUAGGUCCCGAGCGUUGUCCGGAUUUAUUGGGCGUAAAGCGAGCGCAGGUGGUUUCUUAAGUCUGAUGUAAAAGGCAGUGGCUCAACCAUUGUGUGCAUUGGAAACUGGGAGACUUGAGUGCAGGAGAGGAGAGUGGAAUUCCAUGUGUAGCGGUGAAAUGCGUAGAUAUAUGGAGGAACACCGGAGGCGAAAGCGGCUCUCUGGCCUGUAACUGACACUGAGGCUCGAAAGCGUGGGGAGCAAACAGGAUUAGAUACCCCGGUAGUCC